Molecule: ribosomal RNA, 705 nt
Filed under: Triticum aestivum (bread wheat)
Lineage: Eukaryota; Viridiplantae; Streptophyta; Magnoliopsida; Poales; Poaceae
Description: partial small subunit ribosomal RNA
Source: RNAcentral
AUGUUCACGGCUUUCCAGGUGGACGAACAUACGUUCAAGGUGUGUUCGAUUUUGGGCAUGUCAGAUUCAGAACCCGAAGAUCCGGACAAAGGAAGGAACUACUUCGUCAAAGCCUCGAUAGGCGAAGGCGAAUACUACUGCCAAUGCUGCAAGUUUGAACGGGACGACAUUGUGUGCUGUCACAUACUAAAAGUAAUGGACAUGAACGCUGUGACAUGGAUGCCCUGCCAUUUCAUAAGGCGGCGAUGGACUUGGGACGCUGACGAUGCGUUUGCGUCCCAUACAACAAACGCAGUUCUGGCUGUGCAUGACGAGAGACCUGAGUCAACCAUGGAAGCCGUGAGGCAUGUUGUGCUGACAAAGAACUAUGCUGAGCUAAUUGAUGAAGCGUGCAAGAGUGAUGAGACAGCGAGAGUCGCAGAAAAACACAGGAAGGCCCUGAAAAGAGAGCUUGAUGAGAUCAAGAAGAGGAAAGCUGAGGAAGCCUUACACCAGUUCCCCGGCACAUCAAGUGUGCCUUCAUCCACGGGGCCAUCAUCUGAAAAACUCGGAGAUAGGAUCUGGAACAACAAGCACACAAACCCAGGUCAGGAACCCACCCCGUUCCAUCACAAAGGGUCGUCCAAGAGAGAUAAGAUCUGCCAUGUUAAUUAUACUGGAUCUGUCAUGCUAAUUAUGCUGGAUCUGACGUGUUGUUUCUACUGA